This 44-nucleotide small RNA is filed under the name Sinorhizobium meliloti 2011. Its description in RNAcentral is "putative ncRNA". Lineage: Bacteria; Pseudomonadati; Pseudomonadota; Alphaproteobacteria; Hyphomicrobiales; Rhizobiaceae. The record is from RNAcentral.
CCGCCUGCGGGGAGAAGGUCGCGGCAGCGGGAUGAGGGGCGGAC